GUAGUCCACGCCGUAAACGAUGGAUACUAGCUGUUGGGGUGCAAACCUCAGUGGCUAAGCGAAAGUGAUAAGUAUCCCACCUGGGGAGUACGUUCGCAAGAAUGAAACUCAAAGGAAUUGACGGGGGCCCGCACAAGCGGUGGAGCAUGUGGUUUAAUUCGAUGAUACGCGAGGAACCUUACCAAGGCUUAAAUGUGGAUUGACGUAAUUGGAAACAGUUAUUUCUUCGGACAAUUCACAAGGUGCUGCAUGGUUGUCGUCAGCUCGUGCCGUGAGGUGUCAGGUUAAGUCCUAUAACGAGCGCAACCCCUGUGGUUAGUUACCAGCAUGUAAAGAUGGGGACUCUAAUC
This 350-nucleotide ribosomal RNA is filed under the name uncultured Sinomicrobium sp. Its description in RNAcentral is "bacterial SSU rRNA". It matches the Rfam family "Bacterial small subunit ribosomal RNA", at positions 790 to 1145 of the family's 1533-position model. Lineage: Bacteria; Pseudomonadati; Bacteroidota; Flavobacteriia; Flavobacteriales; Flavobacteriaceae. The record is from RNAcentral.